This 2846-nucleotide long non-coding RNA is filed under the name Nicotiana tabacum (common tobacco). RNAcentral's name for it is "long non-coding RNA (NTAB_LNC006069)". The record is from RNAcentral. Lineage: Eukaryota; Viridiplantae; Streptophyta; Magnoliopsida; Solanales; Solanaceae.
GCACCGGUAGUGUUACCCAUAUGCCUUGGCUAUAUAAUCACUCCUCUGCGCCUCACACUGCCUUAUGAUAACAGCCUCAUGUAGAAGAUUCAUGGUGUAGCUGUCGGCAACGUCUCACGAGGGCAUAUAAUCUCAUAGCCGUGUGGAUAAUUUCCAAAAGCAUAAGACUAAGGCAACACAACUCGAGCUAAACCUUACCUUACUAAUCCUAUUGAGGCAAAGAGAAGGCCUCACCUACUAGCAAGCAUGUAAAAAAUAAGAACUUGAACUGACCAAAUAUUCAAUGAUCAUCACAGAGUUUAUAACAUACUUUGUGAUGAUAUUACAAAUGAGAAUACUAAGAAAGUGGUAAAAUAGAAUGUAGUACCAAUUUGAUUCUUGUCACUUCUUUUCUAAACUUGUAAAAUCUUCAAUUUGUAAUUCUUUGUUGUUUUCCUGUCAGGUCACCGUUUUAUUUUUAUAGAAAAUAUUUUUUUCUUUAAAACACUUGGACUCAGAACUAAGUCCGCACCAGAGGUUUGGGUAAGGGGAUUCAUUUAACUCGGGGAGAAGGUAUUAGGCACUCCUCAAGUCCCGUAACUAAUACGGUUGCAUACUUGAUCUAGUCGGCUUUUAAAAUAUUCAAGUUGAGGUAAAAUCACAGAAAAGAAAAUAAACACAAAAGAGGCUCGAGGUUGUCCCCACCUAAAUGAUAGAAAAUUAAAAAAAGAAAAAAACUAAAGUUCUAAAUUAUCCUAUGUUAUUUCUUCUACGAUGUUCGCCAUGACCUCCAAUUACAUAGUACUAUGGGGUAUUCCCGGAAUAAAAUAUAUACAAAUCCUUCAGGGUAUUCCCCAUAUAAAUUUAACUAAAGGAACGACCUCUCGCCUCAGAACCAACAAAAAUCCUAAGGCUUGUCUACCCAAAUAUUGUCGGCCUAAGCAUGCUCCUAGCGGAAGAUGUAAUAGAAGUAACAAAAUAAAACUAAACGAAAUAGAAAUGAAUUUCAUGCUCAUUCACUUUUGAGUUUCUUCUUUCAUGCAUUUGUCCGGCCAGCCCAACUUCCCGCAGCCCGUGCGUGAACCAAACAUUCAUCCAAUCAACCAAAACAAGCACAUACGAAUAGACGUCUAAGGUAGUAAGCAUUCAGCAUUGAAAAAGUAAUAAAAAUAGUAAAAGCCUAUCCCAAUAUAACGUUCCAAUACACACAAAAAGAAGAGGACAACGUGAGUUAAGUCCUAUACGAACAGUUUAGGAAUUAGUAUGCCAUUUUCCUAGAUAUUGUUACUACAUGAACUUUCAAAAACCAUUUAAGCUAAUUUGAACAAUUCUAGGAGUGAACAUGGAUGAAAUGUAAUGCAAAUAAUGACCAGGCUUCUGCCAAAUACUUAAACUAUUCUAAGAGGACAAAAGUAAACCCAGAACACAACUAGCUUAGACAACGUUCAGAAAACAUGUUUAACUAUAUAUCAGCACAGAGAACGGGUCUACAAACAAGAAAAAGCAACUCAUCUCGUGAGAAAAUUGAUUUUUGAUUUUUUCUUUGGCUUCAAGGAUCGAUUAUGUCCCAAACUGUUCGAGACGACAAGAUAAUCCAGUGACUCACUUAACAUAUGAGGGAAAUAGCAUUUAGAGACAGUAGACAAAACAAAGAGUUGCACUUUCAGAUCAUUAUCCAGGAAAGAUAAGAGUUGUCAAUUCAAUCCCAAGGUAAAAUGAAAUCAAGUUGGUUUAAGUUCAAAGGCGAAUCCGCUAAACUUCAACAAAACGUUAAUUAUUUAGUCAUGAAUUGAAACUAAGCCAAUCGAGAUUAGUAACAUUGAAGCAUAGGCGAACAAAACCAACCAUCAACUAGCUGAGCAGACAAAUCAGCUGGAAUUUAAGCAAGAAGGCCAACUGAAUACACUGCCUAUUUAUGUAAAACUCGACGCAAUCGAGUACCAAAUCAGCGAUUACAAAGUUAAGUCAUAUUGCCGUCCAAUGUGUCCAAACUAAAUAGGUUCGAAACCAUAAACAUUUAAACAUAGAAGUAAAGUAGAACGCAAGUAACGGAAGGGGAUCAAAUCUAACUAAAAUCAAACGUGAUAGGGGAGACAGAAAUGAACCUGGAUAUUCAGAAUUUCAAUUAAUUCCAGAAGCGAGGACAUGAAAAGUUCAGCGACAGGGAACUUAAGUGAAUCGCAAACAAGAACAAGAACUUCGAAUAAGAACCCGAACGACAAAUGAACUUCAACUCCGACGAGCUUCAACCAACCUCAAUCAAGGUCCAUAUUUGAAGCGAAAUCCAAAAAUGAAUUAAGAUUUUUAAUAUGUUUCUAAUUUUUCGAAAUGAAACAAAACUCAGAAUAAAAAUCAAACUUAAACUUCUUCUUUUUUCGUUUUUCUGGAAUGUAAAGCAAACACUAAAAAAAAAUCUCAAGACUCAAAGAACCCUAGACCUUUUUUCCACCUUUUUCUUUUUUUCCUCCUUUCCAAGACUGUCCGAAAACUUCCAAAUAUAUAUCCCCUCCCGAAUCUUCUUUCCCUCUUCUCCAAGAAAACCGAUUUUUUAUUUUCGAAAUCUGAAAAAUCCCCUAAAAAUCCCAAAGCCUUUUUCGUGCAAACGGGUUUUAGGCAAAUGGACGCUUAGGAUCAAAAGAUCUCGAUCCUAUGGCUCCCAUUUAACUAUCAUCCAUUUAUGAAUGACUCGAAUUCUUCAAAGAAAUUGACAAGAGCGCAUGAGAUGAGAAGAAAACGCGUUAAAAUCAGAUGCUAAUGAUGAGAGGGGACCAUGUGAGUUAACUCGCCUGGUUUGGACGAGUUCCGGCGAGUUUGGGGUGGUAGGCGCGCGGGCAGAGGUGUGUUGGAGAGGGGUCAGGAGCCAUUUG